GACGAACGCUGGCGGCGUGCUUAACACAUGCAAGUCGAACGGUGAUGAAAGAGCUUGCUUUUUCUGAUCAGUGGCGAACGGGUGAGUAACACGUGAGUAACCUGCCCCAGACUCUGGGAUAACCUCGGGAAACCGGGGCUAAUACCGGAUACGCGACUCCACCGCAUGGUGAGGGUUGGGAAAGUUUUUCGGUCUGGGAUGGACUCGCGGCCUAUCAGCUUGUUGGUGAGGUAAUGGCUCACCAAGGCGACGACGGGUAGCCGGCCUGAGAGGGCGACCGGCCACACUGGAACUGAGACACGGUCCAGACUCCUACGGGAGGCAGCAGUGGGGAAUAUUGCACAAUGGGCGCAAGCCUGAUGCAGCGACGCCGCGUGGGGGAUGAAGGCCUUCGGGUUGUAAACCCCUUUCAGCAGGGAAGAAGCGAAAGUGACGGUACCUGCAGAAGAAGCGCCGGCUAACUACGUGCCAGCAGCCGCGGUAAUACGUAGGGCGCAAGCGUUGUCCGGAAUUAUUGGGCGUAAAGAGCUCGUAGGCGGUCUGUCGCGUCUGCUGUGAAAUCCCGAGGCUCAACCUCGGGCCUGCAGUGGGUACGGGCAGACUAGAGUGUGGUAGGGGAGACUGGAAUUCCUGGUGUAGCGGUGGAAUGCGCAGAUAUCAGGAGGAACACCGAUGGCGAAGGCAGGUCUCUGGGCCACAACUGACGCUGAGGAGCGAAAGCGUGGGGAGCGAACAGGAUUAGAUACCCUGGUAGUCCACGCCGUAAACGGUGGGCACUAGAUGUGGGGCUCUUUCCAUGAGUUCCGCGUCGCAGCUAACGCAUUAAGUGCCCCGCCUGGGGAGUACGGCCGCAAGGCUAAAACUCAAAGGAAUUGACGGGGGCCCGCACAAGCGGCGGAGCAUGCGGAUUAAUUCGAUGCAACGCGAAGAACCUUACCAAGGCUUGACAUAUACCCUCUAUCCCCAGAGAUGGGGAGUGCUUCGGCGGGGUAUACAGGUGGUGCAUGGUUGUCGUCAGCUCGUGUCGUGAGAUGUUGGGUUAAGUCCCGCAACGAGCGCAACCCUCGUCCUAUGUUGCCAGCACGUGAUGGUGGGGACUCAUUGGAGACUGCCGGGGUCAACUCGGAGGAAGGUGGGGAUGACGUCAAAUCAUCAUGCCCCUUAUGUCUUGGGCUUCACGCAUGCUACAAUGGCCGGUACAAUGGGCUGCGAUACCGUAAGGUGGAGCGAAUCCCAAAAAGCCGGUCUCAGUUCGGAUUGAGGUCUGCAACUCGACCUCAUGAAGUCGGAGUCGCUAGUAAUCGCAGAUCAGCAACGCUGCGGUGAAUACGUUCCCGGGCCUUGUACACACCGCCCGUCAAGUCACGAAAGUCGGUAACACCCGAAGCCAGUGGCCCAACUCGUAAGAGGGGGAGCUGUCUAAGGUGGGAUUGGCGAUUGGGACUAAGUCGUAACAAGGUAGCCGUACCGGAAGGUGC
RNAcentral lists this ribosomal RNA (1478 nucleotides) under Demequina rhizosphaerae. Its description in RNAcentral is "bacterial SSU rRNA". It matches the Rfam family "Bacterial small subunit ribosomal RNA". The record is from RNAcentral. Lineage: Bacteria; Bacillati; Actinomycetota; Actinomycetes; Micrococcales; Demequinaceae.